AAAGUUACACAAGAAGAAUUGGCCCUUGACCAGCCUGAUUGGUUGCAGGAGGGGACCAAUCAGAGGUACCUCCCAUUUUUCAUCUGCAGCCCAAUGCAAAGUAAUGACAUGGAUCUGGAGAGAUUCUCUUAGGAGAGAAUCUGGCUAAGUGUCUAGCAGGAUGAUUGAUUAACAAGAUGUUUUGUUUUCAUCAUCUCAGAGAUAACUGUAUUGAGGUAUAAUUGAUAUGCCAAAUAACUGGACACAUUCAACUUGUGCAAUUUGAUGAGUUUGGAGAUACACAUACAUCUGUGAAACCAUCACCAAAAUCAAGAGAAAGUGGACUAUGAACAAUCGAAAGAAAGUGGUGGAUGGUUUCUGGAAGGACAAGUCUGCACCAGAGAAUAAAAGGGCAUUCCUUAGGGUUGCUGAGGAUUUUCUUUGAUUGUAUUCUGCUAAUGUGUGUGCAAGGCAGAUAUAACACAUUUGUGGAAGGCUCUAGAGACAUUUUCUACAAAUUUUACCCUGGUUUCAGGAAAAAGAGUCUGAUUGACAUAACUUGUCAAGUGUUCGCCCCAGCUUCUAUCAACUAUGGGGAAGGAAGGGCCAGAAGAGGUGUAACCAUCAUGGCUACCAGGUUUCGAAAUAUUUACAUUACAUACUGCAUUUAUUAAAAUACAAAUUAAAUCUGCAAUAAAAAACUAAUUGACCAUUCUCUGGGA
This 701-nucleotide long non-coding RNA is filed under the name Homo sapiens (human). RNAcentral describes it as "long independently transcribed non-coding RNA 2756, transcript variant 6 (LINC02756)". Lineage: Eukaryota; Metazoa; Chordata; Mammalia; Primates; Hominidae. The record is from RNAcentral.